AAGUCGUAACAAGGUUUCCGUAGGUGAACCUGCGGAAGGAUCAUUAUAGUAUAUGGAAUCUCCAUUCUAUAAACACCAUCUGCGUACCUUAUACCUGUUGCUUCCAUGGGCCUUGAGCCUAGCGCUCGCAUCGGCCCUAUGGCUGGUGAGCGCCCAUGGAAGGAAAACAUAAACCCUCUUUUUUGUGAAUUAAAGUCUGAACUUGUUUAUUUUAAACGUUAAAACUUUCAACAACGGAUCUCUUGGUUCUC
RNAcentral lists this unclassified non-coding RNA (251 nucleotides) under fungal sp. Its description in RNAcentral is "partial internal transcribed spacer region". The stretch from base 1 to 46 matches the Rfam family "Eukaryotic small subunit ribosomal RNA", at positions 1786 to 1831 of the family's 1831-position model. The record is from RNAcentral. Lineage: Eukaryota; Fungi.